RNAcentral lists this ribosomal RNA (789 nucleotides) under Pseudomonas sp. RODV17. RNAcentral's name for it is "bacterial SSU rRNA". It matches the Rfam family "Bacterial small subunit ribosomal RNA", at positions 56 to 841 of the family's 1533-position model. Lineage: Bacteria; Pseudomonadati; Pseudomonadota; Gammaproteobacteria; Pseudomonadales; Pseudomonadaceae. The record is from RNAcentral.
UGCAGUCGAGCGGUAGAGAGAAGCUUGCUUCUCUUGAGAGCGGCGGACGGGUGAGUAAUGCCUAGGAAUCUGCCUGGUAGUGGGGGAUAACGUUCGGAAACGGACGCUAAUACCGCAUACGUCCUACGGGAGAAAGCAGGGGACCUUCGGGCCUUGCGCUAUCAGAUGAGCCUAGGUCGGAUUAGCUAGUUGGUGAGGUAAUGGCUCACCAAGGCGACGAUCCGUAACUGGUCUGAGAGGAUGAUCAGUCACACUGGAACUGAGACACGGUCCAGACUCCUACGGGAGGCAGCAGUGGGGAAUAUUGGACAAUGGGCGAAAGCCUGAUCCAGCCAUGCCGCGUGUGUGAAGAAGGUCUUCGGAUUGUAAAGCACUUUAAGUUGGGAGGAAGGGUUGUAGAUUAAUACUCUGCAAUUUUGACGUUACCGACAGAAUAAGCACCGGCUAACUCUGUGCCAGCAGCCGCGGUAAUACAGAGGGUGCAAGCGUUAAUCGGAAUUACUGGGCGUAAAGCGCGCGUAGGUGGUUUGUUAAGUUGGAUGUGAAAUCCCCGGGCUCAACCUGGGAACUGCAUUCAAAACUGACUGACUAGAGUAUGGUAGAGGGUGGUGGAAUUUCCUGUGUAGCGGUGAAAUGCGUAGAUAUAGGAAGGAACACCAGUGGCGAAGGCGACCACCUGGACUAAUACUGACACUGAGGUGCGAAAGCGUGGGGAGCAAACAGGAUUAGAUACCCUGGUAGUCCACGCCGUAAACGAUGUCAACUAGCCGUUGGAAGCCUUGAGCUUUU